Globicephala melas (long-finned pilot whale) is the source of this 700-nucleotide long non-coding RNA. RefSeq lists it as uncharacterized. The record is from RefSeq and is a predicted model, not a curated record. NCBI's taxonomy places the organism in Eukaryota, Metazoa, Chordata, Mammalia, Artiodactyla, Delphinidae.
GUCGCUGAAAGCCGCCAGCGCGGUCUGGCGGAGCAGGCGGGCCAGGGCGCGCGCCUUGUGCGCCCGCGCCAGCAGCACGGCGUGGCAGCGCAGCACCACGGCCUUGUGGCGCGCCUGGUGGCGGUAGACCCAGGCGAAGACGCGCGGGUGGCGCCCGUCCGCCGUGCAGUAGGUGAUGCGCGGCAGCAGUGAAUAUUCACUAAGAGCCCACUACGUGCCAGGCCCUGUGCUGGGGCCUCUGAGGCAAACAGGACGUGAUUCAGGAUGUGAUCCUCAUUCUCCAAUCCAGAACCUUACAGAGGAGAUUUGAGCCUGAAAUUCAUCUGCAGUCCUCUCUAGCACAUGGGUUUGUUAUCUCUCUUCCAGUCCUGACAGGUGAUGGUCACACGGUUUGGGGACUUUUCAGCAGUUUCUUUUACUCUGACAUGCCUCUGCUCAAAAGCUCCGUGCUGCUUACAGAAGAGAGUCCGGACUCCACAGUUCCUGGAACCUAAGUUUUUUGAUACAAAUUUAUUGAAAUAUUGAAAGGACCGCCAUGAUCUUGCUCUAAUGUGUCUUUUCAGCCUUUUUCCCCACUACCUCUCCCUGACCCUGGUGGAAUCUAUUUUUCUGUAACUCAACUGGUGCAUUUUUUAGGAACCUCACGUUAUCAAACUGUGUUGUUUAAUAAUAAUUGUUUCAAUAGAAAAAUAAUAAAGGC